UACGGAGGGUGCGAGCGUUGCUCGGAAUCAUUGGGCGUAAAGCGUACGCAGGCGGCUCGAUAAGUCGGGUGUGAAAGCCCAGGGCUCAACCCUGGAAAUGCGCCCGAAACUGCCGAGCUUGAGUGCGGGAGAGGGAAGCGGAAUUCCUGGUGUAGAGGUGAAAUUCGUAGAUAUCAGGAGGAACACCGGUGGCGAAGGCGGCAUCCUGGACUGGUCCUGACACUCAUGAGCGAAAGCGUGGGGAGCGAUCCGG
Molecule: ribosomal RNA, 253 nt
Filed under: uncultured bacterium
Lineage: Bacteria
Description: partial 16S ribosomal RNA
Rfam family: Bacterial small subunit ribosomal RNA
Source: RNAcentral